GACGAACGCUGGCGGCGUGCUUAACACAUGCAAGUCGAACGGAAAGGCCCUGCUUUUGUGGGGUGCUCGAGUGGCGAACGGGUGAGUAACACGUGAGUAACCUGCCCUUGACUUUGGGAUAACUUCAGGAAACUGGGGCUAAUACCGGAUAGGAGCUCCUGCUGCAUGGUGGGGGUUGGAAAGUUUCGGCGGUUGGGGAUGGACUCGCGGCUUAUCAGCUUGUUGGUGGGGUAGUGGCUUACCAAGGCUUUGACGGGUAGCCGGCCUGAGAGGGUGACCGGGGACCGGGCGACUGAGUGACGGAGCAGAGGGGUACGGGGGACAACGGUGGCGAAGCGGGGCCAGGGGGCGCGAGGCUGAUACAGAGGCGCCGUGUUCGGGAAGCCGGUCUUCUGUGAGUGAACAGCAGCAGCCUGUGACCCAGCUGUACUGACGGUACCGAAUAAAGAAGCACCGGCUAACUUCGUG
This 468-nucleotide ribosomal RNA is filed under the name uncultured bacterium. RNAcentral describes it as "partial 16S ribosomal RNA". It matches the Rfam family "Bacterial small subunit ribosomal RNA", at positions 28 to 507 of the family's 1533-position model. The record is from RNAcentral.